UGCAAGUCGAGCGGGCAUAGCAAUAUGUCUGCGUCCGACGGCUGAGUAACCCGCGGGAACGUACCUUCUGGUUCCCAACACCCGAGGGAAACUUCAGCUAAUACCCGAAAAGCCCUUACGGGGAAAGAUUUAUCUUCGAAAGAUCGGCCCGCCUCUGAUUUUCUCCUUGGUGACGUAAUGGCUCAUCCCGGCGACGAUCAUUAGCUGGUCUGAGAGGAUGAUCAGCCCCUUUGGGACUGAGACACGGCCCAAACUCCUACGGGAGGCAGCAGUGGGGAAUAUUGGACAAUGGGCGCAAGCCUGAUCCAGCCAUGCCUCGUGAGUGAUGAAGGCCCUAGGGUUGUAAAGCUCUUUUGUGCGGAAAGAUAAUGACGGUACCGGAAGAAUAAGCCCCGGCUAACUUCAUGCCAACAUCCCCGGUAAUACCAAGGGGGCUAGCGUUGCUCGGAAUUCCUGGGCGUAAAGGGUGCGUAAACAGGUCUUUUAGUCACGGGUGAAAUCCUGGAACUCAACUUCAAAAGUGCCUUUGAUACUGAAGAUCUUGACCUCCGGCGACGUGACUGGAACUGCCCCCGUACAAGUGAAAUUCGUAGAUAUUCGCCAGAACACCACCGCCGGAAGCGGGUCUCUGGCCCUAUACUGACCCUUAGGCACGAAAACCUGGGGAG
This 668-nucleotide ribosomal RNA is filed under the name Bradyrhizobium sp. Its description in RNAcentral is "bacterial SSU rRNA". It matches the Rfam family "Bacterial small subunit ribosomal RNA", at positions 56 to 768 of the family's 1533-position model. Lineage: Bacteria; Pseudomonadati; Pseudomonadota; Alphaproteobacteria; Hyphomicrobiales; Nitrobacteraceae. The record is from RNAcentral.